AGUGAACGCUGGCGGCAGGCCUAACACAUGCAAGUCGAGCGGCAGCGCGUCCGACCACCCUCGGGUGGUCGGAUGGCGGCGUGCGGCGGACGGGUGAGGAAUGCAUCGGAAUCUGCCUCGUUGUGGGGGAUAACGUAGGGAAACUUACGCUAAUACCGCAUACGACCUACGGGUGAAAGUGGGGGACCUUCGGGCCUCACGCGAUGAGAUGAGCCGAUGCCGGAUUAGCUAGUUGGCGGGGUAAAGGCCCACCAAGGCGACGAUCCGUAGCUGGUCUGAGAGGAUGAUCAGCCACACUGGAACUGAGACACGGUCCAGACUCCUACGGGAGGCAGCAGUGGGGAAUAUUGGACAAUGGGGGGCAACCCUGAUCCAGCCAUGCCGCGUGUGUGAAGAAGGCCUACGGGUUGUAAAGCACUUUUGUUGGGGAAGAAACCGGCCGGGUUAAUACCCUGGUUGAAUGACGGUACCCAAAGAAUAAGCACCGGCUAACUUCGUGCCAGCAGCCGACGG
This 513-nucleotide ribosomal RNA is filed under the name uncultured bacterium. RNAcentral's name for it is "bacterial SSU rRNA". It matches the Rfam family "Bacterial small subunit ribosomal RNA", at positions 30 to 520 of the family's 1533-position model. The record is from RNAcentral.